RNAcentral lists this signal recognition particle RNA (152 nucleotides) under Candidatus Mediterraneibacter merdigallinarum. Its description in RNAcentral is "partial signal recognition particle sRNA large type". It matches the Rfam family "Bacterial large signal recognition particle RNA", at positions 1 to 152 of the family's 256-position model. Rfam says of the family: The signal recognition particle (SRP) is a universally conserved ribonucleoprotein involved in the co-translational targeting of proteins to membranes. Archaeal SRP consists of a 7S RNA and homologues of the eukaryotic SRP19 and SRP54 proteins. In most bacteria, the SRP consists of a 4.5S RNA and the Ffh protein (a homologue of the eukaryotic SRP54 protein). Lineage: Bacteria; Bacillati; Bacillota; Clostridia; Lachnospirales; Lachnospiraceae. The record is from RNAcentral.
UCGUGCAGCCGGGGUGUUAGCGGUACCUUGUACCUGCAAUCCGCUAUAGCAGGGGUGAUAUUGCGCGGAGGGCGACAGUCUGCAGGGCUGCCCCCGGUAAGUGACGUUGAUGUCCGGGUCUCACGCGACGGGAACCUGUGAACCGUGUCAGG